GCUCCAGUAGCUCAGAUGGAUAGAGCAAUUGCCUUCUAAGCAAUCGGUCACAGGUUCGAGUCCUGUCUGGGGCG
This 74-nucleotide transfer RNA is filed under the name Drouetiella hepatica Uher 2000/2452. Its description in RNAcentral is "Leptolyngbya sp. Uher 2000/2452 tRNA". It matches the Rfam family "tRNA". Rfam says of the family: Transfer RNA (tRNA) molecules are approximately 80 nucleotides in length. Their secondary structure includes four short double-helical elements and three loops (D, anti-codon, and T loops). Lineage: Bacteria; Bacillati; Cyanobacteriota; Cyanophyceae; Oculatellales; Oculatellaceae. The record is from Rfam by way of RNAcentral. RNAcentral also lists the same sequence under 6 other names.